GCACUAGCGCGGUGGUCCCACCUGACCCCGAACUCAGAAGUGAAACGCCGUAGCGCCGAUGGUAGUGUGGGGUCUCCCCAUGUGAGAGUAGGGAACUGCCAGGC
This 104-nucleotide ribosomal RNA is filed under the name Klebsiella pneumoniae. Lineage: Bacteria; Pseudomonadati; Pseudomonadota; Gammaproteobacteria; Enterobacterales; Enterobacteriaceae. The record is from RNAcentral.